Molecule: ribosomal RNA, 253 nt
Filed under: uncultured bacterium
Lineage: Bacteria
Description: partial 16S ribosomal RNA
Rfam family: Bacterial small subunit ribosomal RNA
Source: RNAcentral
GACGGGGGAUGCAAGUGUUAUCCGGAAUCACUGGGCGUAAAGCGUCUGCAGGUGGUUUCCUAAGUCCACUGUUAAACCUUGAGGCUCAACCCCAAAUCUGCAUUGGAAACUAGGAGACUUGAGUAUAGUAGGGGUAGAGGGAAUUUCCAGUGGAGCGGUGAAAUGCGUAGAUAUUGGAAAGAACACCGAUGGCGAAGGCACUCUACUGGGCUAUUACUGACACUCAGAGACGAAAGCUAGGGUAGCAAAUGGG